UUGAAUGAUGAUAACCAUUAUAACAACAACUUGAAUUUCUUCAACCGAAAUCGAAAUGUGGAGAUAAAUUUUGACAUAGCUUUUUAACCCUGAUC
This 95-nucleotide small nucleolar RNA is filed under the name Torulaspora delbrueckii CBS 1146. The record is from RNAcentral. Lineage: Eukaryota; Fungi; Ascomycota; Saccharomycetes; Saccharomycetales; Saccharomycetaceae.